GAUGAACGCUGGCGGCGUGCCUAAUACAUGCAGGUCGAGCGAACAGACGAGGAGCUUGCUCCUUUGACGUUAGCGGCGGACGGGUGAGUAACACGUGGGUAACCUACCUAUAAGACUGGGAUAACUUCGGGAAACCGGAGCUAAUACCGGAUAAUAUUUCGAACCGCAUGGUUCGAUAGUGAAAGAUGGCUUUGCUAUCACUUAUAGAUGGACCUGCGCCGUAUUAGCUAGUUGGUAAGGUAACGGCUUACCAAGGCAACGAUACGUAGCCGACCUGAGAGGGUGAUCGGCCACACUGGAACUGAGACACGGUCCAGACUCCUACGGGAGGCAGCAGUAGGGAAUCUUCCGCAAUGGGCGAAAGCCUGACGGAGCAACGCCGCGUGAGUGAUGAAGGUCUUCGGAUCGUAAAACUCUGUUAUUAGGGAAGAACAAACGUGUAAGUAACUGUGCACGUCUUGACGGUACCUAAUCAGAAAGCCACGGCUAACUACGUG
RNAcentral lists this ribosomal RNA (497 nucleotides) under uncultured bacterium. Its description in RNAcentral is "partial 16S ribosomal RNA". It matches the Rfam family "Bacterial small subunit ribosomal RNA", at positions 28 to 507 of the family's 1533-position model. The record is from RNAcentral.